Molecule: unclassified non-coding RNA, 293 nt
Filed under: uncultured fungus
Lineage: Eukaryota; Fungi
Description: partial contains small subunit ribosomal RNA, internal transcribed spacer 1, and 5.8S ribosomal RNA
Rfam family: Eukaryotic small subunit ribosomal RNA (bases 1-73)
Source: RNAcentral
GCAAACUUGGUCAUUUAGAGGAAGUAAAAGUCGUAACAAGGUUUCCGUAGGUGAACCUGCGGAAGGAUCAUUAAAGAUUUCGGCCCUUCUGGGUCCAAAUUACACCUUUGGCUGUGCGCUCUCGCUGCACGCCAGAGGAUAAACCCUUCACACACCUGUGCGCCUCACGGUCGCGUUCCAGGACGCUUCCGCAAUUUUAACAUACAACCACAAGUCUCGAAUGUGACUAUACUAUAUAAUUAACAACUUUCAACAACGGAUCUCUUGGCUCUCGCAUCGAUGAAGAACGCAGC